RNA transcript from Panicum virgatum (switchgrass), 2761 nucleotides. It is a transcript of the gene named transcription factor PHYTOCHROME INTERACTING FACTOR-LIKE 13-like, with no coding region annotated. The transcript is spliced from 9 exons. The record is from RefSeq and is a predicted model, not a curated record. Lineage: Eukaryota; Viridiplantae; Streptophyta; Magnoliopsida; Poales; Poaceae.
GUAGGCUGGGUGAAAUCUUUCUUUUCCUUCCCCAUCCAAGUUGCCGAUUCCGAGGGGAGCUGACAGGGACGCGUCCCGGCCCAAAGAUCUCCGACAGCGAUGUCAACUCCUCCCCUCCAUACAAAUGCCGGCGGACGCCUCUCUCUCUCUCUCUCUCUCUCAAACCGAUGCCGCCCCCCACGGGUUGUUCUUGCGUUCUCUGAACCUGGGGGGAAGGACAGAGAGAGAGCGUGCCCGGAUUCAGCCUCUGGUCGGCCGGAGCAUCGCUGGUGGUAUACUGGUAUUGCCGCGCAGCUACGCACAAGUUGCGGAGCUCUUCUACAAGAAGAGCUCGGCGGUCGGAGGUACCUCGGCGCGCCCGGGUCCAAGAAGUGGAUACUCGCCAUGGACGGCGGCGAGAGGCCGGCGGCGACCCAGAAGAGACCCUUCCCGUAACCAAAGCUUUCUUCUCCCCCUGCUCCAUUGCUUUCUUGCUGCGCGUUUGGUGUUCUUGAUCCGUUCAAGCUUUGCUCCUUUCCACUCGGCGCGGCGCAGUCCGGAUGGAGAGCUCGUGGAGCUGCUGUGGCAGGACGGCGCCGUCGUGGCGCACUCGCAGGCGGCGCAGCGGGCCUUCGCCGGCGCCGGCAACACGGGCGCGAGCGGCGUCACCGGAGAGGCGGCGGCGUGGCUCCCGGGAGGCGGCGCGCUGGGCGGGGACGUGUACUCGCAGCUCUGGCAGAGCAUCGCGCAGGCCGACGGCCGCGUGGGCGCCCGCCCGCCUGCCAGGAGCGGGAACAGCGCCGCCGGGUCGAGCCGGACGGCCGGCGAGGUCGGGUCCAGCUUCUGCGGCAGCAACCUCGUGGCGGCGGCGCGGCACCUGGACGACGACAUCGACGACGUCGCGGCGUUGCCGCCACCGCCACCGCCGGGGGACGAGCCGGGCGCGUGCGGGGGCGCGUCCACGUCCAGCGGCUGGAACAGCAAUGCGCUGCUCAAGAGGAGCAGGGACGAGCUCGAUUUCCGCAGCGAGGAUGCCGACUUGGACACCGUCGACGAGACACCGGCGUCGAGGCGGCCGGCGUCCAAGCGCAGGACGCGCGCCGCCGAGGUCCACAACAUGUCGGAGAGGAGGAGAAGGGACCGGAUCAACGAGAAGAUGCGAGCUUUGCAAGAACUGGUGCCCCACUGCAACAAGACCGACAAAGCAUCAAUACUAGAUGAGGCAAUUGAGUACUUGAAGUCACUCCAAAUGCAAGUUCAGAUCAUGUGGAUGAGUACUGGGAUGGCGCCCAUGAUGCUCCCAGGUGCUCACCAACUCAUGCCUCCAAUGAGCAUGGGCUUGAAUUCUGCCUAUAUGCCACCGGCGGCGCAAUUCCUCAGUCAGAUUCAGACAGUACCACCCUUCCUCAGUAACCCGCUGCCGAAUCAGAUUCCUCAGAUCUCACCUGCAUCUACCAGUGCACCCAAUGUAACAAACCAAGUUCAAAGCAACCGCAUGGCCCAGCCGAGAAAUCCAUUUCUUCAUCCUAAUGAUGCAUUGACAUCAACACCUCAGGGUCCCAAUUCAUUGCAGUUACCGAGUUUAUUUGGCUAUGGACCACAGAUGGCACAAGAGAACGCGAUUCAAGAGUUACUGGCUUGCACUGCUGCUCCAGCUUUGGACGCGGAGCAGCUGUCUUCCUCUGACGGAACAGGAACCUAACACCACCACAAUCCAGUAAUAUGUUUUACAGGCAAGCAGCUAGGGGGUAUGAACAGAAGAAGUCAGAACAAGUGGUCCUACAGGAAUCAAUUGGAUACUAACAUGCAGUGUGCAGUAAGGCCAUGGGCAGAUCAUGCAACCAUGAGAUUUUUGGGAAGCUCUGAGGAGCCAACACGUUUGUGGCAGCACUGUGCCGACACGAUACGAUUCUUAUCUGAAGAAUAGUCUUGGAAACUUGAACAUCACCUUUCUGUUUCUGGAACGAUUUUGUCUACAGGAGACGAACUUGGCAAGGCCAUCAGGAGAUGUGAUCCUGCUGAUGCUUUGGACACGGAGGUGACAUGCUGGAUUAGGAUCAUCACAGAAGCACAAGGAUAUAAAGAGUCCUGGUUUCCCUCCUCUUUUUGCUGAUGUUACACCACUGUUACAUUAUCCCAGAUGAGACUCUGCAUCUGGUGAGUUGAGUUCUUGUGGGUCUCUUCCAGCUUUACUUCAGCUAAUGAUUCUUCAAGUGGGCGGCCGCAAGGAACAUGAUAAUGUUUGCACGGGGUGACGCUUAUUGAGAUUGAAACAAAACAGCAUCAUGUCGGAUUCGUACAUGAAGCACAUCAUCAACAUUAUUGGCAUUUGGACAUGCGCAAAUAUCGCGCGAAUUGUGCGCAUGAACGGAUGUCUGCCACAUCUAUAUGGAUCUCACGGCACUACUUGUUGAGAAAUUUGUCGGUCCAUAUCGCAGUUGCUUACAUGUAAUGAUACACGCUUCAUUGUCCUAAGUUAAUAGGACAGUGACGGGUCAGUCCAUCUGGUUUGCAUAUCAUCUGUGGUAAUGUGCGUCCAUCACAGUCCCUGUCGGUUGGGAUUGGAACUUGGUUUUUUCACUUUGGGUUGGGGUUUGGUUCUCAUGCUCAAUCAGGUUGAGUAUUAUUUUCUUUAUAUUGGAGGACGUUUUCUUACCAAACGAUUGAAAGCGCAUCUCAUCAAAAGAAAAGAAAAAGGUUGGAGGCAAGAUGCCAAGAAAGGAAAGAAAAACAGAAAAGGAGAGAAUAAAAAUAAUGGCUUCGCCCGGGUUCGAACCGGAGA